AACAAAGACCCGUUGAUAUAUUUUUAAAGAGGUAUGAACAUCGCGGUGAUAUAGAAAACAUACGGAGAUGCAGCAGACCUAAAUCCUUUCAUGAUCGGUAUAAAAGAAAAUUUUCCGGUGGCGUAAAAAAAUAUCGCCGUAAAGGUUUAGCGGAAAUUACAAAUAAUUUUAAUGAGAACAUUGAUAGACCUUUCUCUAAAAGAACUGUUGAAUGUAAAAUACAAUUUGAUUGAUUCCGCACGCGGUCAGUUUAGAAAAAAAUAUCGUAUAUGUGAGAUCAACUAGAAAAAACGAGUGGCAUACUGCAUAGGAAAUCUACAUAAAAGAGGAAAUGUACACUGGAGUAAAUGGAUAUUCAACGAUAAGUGAAAGGUAGUCAUACGGCAAAAUUCUUCAGCCAAUGUCUAGAGAAGGUCGGAGAAGAGUGGUUGAUGGAUUGUAUUUUCCUUCCGUCUCAGCGCAACUAUUGUUUGAUGAUCUGGGGAUGUAUUAAUUACAAUGACGUGAAAAAUAUAACUGUUAUUGACGGGAACAUAAAUGCCUUAAAAUACUUUGACAUAAUUGACAACAAAGUGUGGUCAAUGAUUAUUAAAUUCAGAAGAGUUUUUAAACUCGACGUCGAAUAAUCUCACAAAAAAGGAAACAAAUAUUUCGGCGACUUUUGUUAGCAGGUAUACUCGAAUGACCAUUAGGAAAAAAGCGAAUGAUCAAUAUCAAGGUAACCAAUUUUACAUUUAUUGUACCUAAUAUAUCUGCACUGUGUGGUGUGAUCUAAUUUUGUUGAAAAAAAUUGACAAAAAAAAGUAGGCACGUAAAACAUCUCAAUUAUUAUCAAUUUCUAAUAAAACAACGUUUUUCUAUUGCAACGAAAGUCCUUUCAAAGUCCGAACCAAUGACAAGGUUUAUAAAAAAAUAAAUCAGCGCUUUUAUGAAAAGAUGUUCUCAAUGAACAUAAUAAAAGAGGAACGAAAGAUACAAGAGGGACAGUCAAACUCAUAAAUCGAAAAUAAACUGACAACACCAUGGCUAAAAAUAAAAAGUUCAAACAGACAAACAAUAGUACACAUGAUACAACAUAGAAAACUAAAGAAUAAACAACACGAACCGCAUUUAUAAUUAUACCUUCACAUUUCACACAAUUAGUUGUUAACCCAUUCGAACAAAAAGAACUGCAUUCUUAGCUGUUUAUUAUUUUGAACAAAAGCCUUAUGAAAAAAUUAUAAAGUAUGCACUGUUUUCUAUUAUACAUUGAUAACUUACUUCAUCAAUUUACAAUUAUUGACUUAGUUUUAUUAUUAAUUUCAGAAAAAAUGAUCAUCUUGUGGAAUAAUCUCACAAAAGUAGAAGCAAAAAUUUCGGCGACUUUUUUAACAGGUAUAUUCAAAUGACCGUUAGAAAAAAGCGGAACAUCAAUAUUAUGGUAAUCAACUUUACGUUUAUUCUACCUAACAUAACGACACUGUGUGUUGUGAUUUAAUUUUGUUGAAAAAAUUGACAAAAAAAAUUAGCACGUAAAACAUCUGAUAAAUAAGCAAUAUCGAAUAAAACAACGUUUCUCUAUUGCAAGAAAAGUGUUUCACAAGUUGAAACUAGGGACAAAGUGUGAAGAAAUACAAAACAGCGCUUUUAUGAAAAGACGUUUUCAAAGAAUAUCACAAUUAUACAAUCACAUUUCACACAAUAAGUUGUUAACCCAUUUGAACAACUAUAACUGCAUUCUUAGUUGUUGAUAAUUUUUGUAAAAAAAAAAUGGCCGAAAAAGGUAUAAAGUGCGCACUGUUUUUUUUUUACCUUAUACAUUAAUUACCUACUUCAUCUAUAAAUAAUUAUUGUAUACUUUUUAUUUUCAUUAUCAGAAGAAUUUUCAAACUCGUGGAAUAAUAUCUGAAAAGAGGAAGCAAAAAUUUCGACGACUUCUUUUUAGCAGGAAUAUUCGAAUGACCGUUAGAAAAAAAGAGAAACAUCAAUAUCAAGAUAAUCAAUUGUACAAUAACUCUAACUAAUAUAACGGCACUGUGUGGUGUGGUAUAAUUUGGUGAAAAUAUUGACUGACAAAAGUGGGCACGUAACACAUCUCAUCAAUAAGCAAUUUCCAAUAAAUCAACAUUUUUAUUUUGCAAGGAAAGUCCUUACUAAGUCAACCAAAGUGACAAAGUUUGCAGAAAAAUAAAUCAGGGCUUUUCUGAAAAGCUGUUUUCAUUGAAGAUACAUGUAGCAAUUAUACAGUAUUCUGCCAUAAGUAUUCGUAAAAACAACAAUUGCGGUCACGUCAUGGAAGGUUAAACAAGUUUUGGCCGUCGUCUCCAUGUCACAAUCUGGAUGACCGUGAAUCUAAAUUUAAAUAUAAAUUGAUCUGUAGAAAAACAUGUGGUUGUCAUGUGACACGUGCAUGAUGGCAUCAACCUUGUCUUGUAAAUAAAAUGGGUCGAAGGGGAAAAGAACUGACAUCUUAUCAGAAAAGGGAUUUCGCUGCAUUAAAUGAUGCAGGUUACCGAAAAAGUGAAAUAGUCAGACUGACCGGCAUUACACAAAGACCCGUUGACAUUUUUUGAAGAGGUAUGAACAUCGCGGUGAUAUAGAAAACAUACGGAGAUGCAGCAGACCUAAAUCCUUUCAUGACCGGUAUAUGAGAAAAUUUUCCCGUCCCGUAAAAAAAUAUCGCCAUGAAGGUUUAGCUGAAAUUACAAAUAAUUUUAAUGAGAACAUUGAUAGACCUUUCUCUAAAAGAACUGUUGAAUGUAAAAUACAUUUUGAUUGAUUCUGCACGCGGUCAGUUUAAAAAAAAAUAUCGUAUAUGUGAGAUCAAUUAGAAAAAACGAGUGGCAUACUGCAUAGGAAAUCUACAUAAAAGAGGAAAUGUACACUGGAGUAAAUGGAUAUUCAACGAUAAGUGAAAGGUAGUCAUACGGCAAAAUUCUUCAGCCAAUGUCUAGAGAAGGUCGGAGAAGAGUGGUUGAUGGAUUGUAUUUUCCUUCCGUCUCAGCGCAACUAUUGUUUGAUGAUCUGGGGAUGUAUUAAUUACAAUGACGUGGGAAUUAUUAACUGUUAUUGACGGGAACAUAAAUGCCUUAAAAUACUUUGACAUAAUUGACAACAAAGUGUGGUCAAUGAUUAUUAAAUUCAGAAGAGUUUUUAAACUCGACGUCGAAUAAUCUCACAAAAAAGGAAACAAAUAUUUCGGCGACUUUUGUUAGCAGGUAUACUCGAAUGACCAUUAGGAAAAAAGCGAAACAUCAAUAUCAAGGUAAUCAAUUUUACAUUUAUUGUACCUAAUAUAUCUGCACUGUGUGGUGUGAUCUAAUUUUGUUGAAAAUAUUGACAAAAAAAAGUAGGCACGUAAAACAUCUCUAAUUAUUAUCAAUUUCUAAUAAAACAACGUUUUUCUAUUGCAACGAAAGUCCUUUCAAAGUCCGAACCAAUGACAAGGUUUAUAAAAAAAUAAAUCAGCGCUUUUAUGAAAAGAUGUUUUCAAUGAACAUAAUAAAAGAGGAACGAAAGAUACAAGAGGGACAGUCAAACUCAUAAAUCGAAAAUAAACUGACAACACCAUGGCUAAAAAUAAAAAGUUCAAACAGACAAACAAUAGUACACAUGAUACAACAUAGAAAACUAAAGAAUAAACAACACGAACCGCAUUUAUAAUUAUACCUUCACAUUUCACACAAUUAGUUGUUAACCCAUUCGAACAAAAAGAACUGCAUUCUUAGCUGUUUAUUAUUUUGAACAAAAGCCUAAUGAAAAAAUUAUAAAGUAUGCACUGUUUUCUAUUAUACAUUGAUAACUUACUUCAUCAAUUUACAAUUAUUGACUUAGUUUUAUUAUUAAUUUCAGAAAAAAAUGAUCAUCUUGUCGAAUAAUCUCACAAAAGUAGAAGCAAAAAUUUCGGCGACUUUUUUAACAGGUAUAUUCAAAUGACCGUUAGAAAAAAGCGGAACAUCAAUAUUAUGGUAAUCAACUUUACGUUUAUUCUACCUAACAUAACGGCACUGUGUGUUGUGAUUUAAUUUUGUUGAAAAAAUUGACAAAAAAAAAAUUAGCACGUAAAACAUCUGAUAAAUAAGCAAUAUCGAAUAAAACAACGUUUCUCUAUUGCAAGAAAAGUGUUUCACAAGUUGAAACUAGGGACAAAGUGUGAAGAAAUACAAAACAGCGCUUUUAUGAAAAGACGUUUUCAAAGAAUAUCACAAUUAUACAAUCACAUUUCACACAAUAAGUUGUUAACCCAUUUGAACAACUAUAACUGCAUUCUUAGUUGUUGAUAAUUUUUGUAAAAAAAAAAUGGCCGAAAAAGGUAUAAAGUGCGCACUGUUUUUUUUUUACCUUAUACAUUAAUUACCUACUUCAUCUAUAAAUAAUUAUUGUAUACUUUUUAUUUUCAUUAUCAGAAGAAUUUUCAAACUCGUGGAAUAAUAUCUGAAAAGAGGAAGCAAAAAUUUCGACGACUUCUUUUUAGCAGGAAUAUUCGAAUGACCGUUAGAAAAAAAGAGAAACAUCAAUAUCAAGAUAAUCAAUUGUACAAUAACUCUAACUAAUAUAACGGCACUGUGUGGUGUGGUAUAAUUUGGUGAAAAUAUUGACUGACAAAAGUGGGCACGUAACACAUCUCAUCAAUAAGCAAUUUCCAAUAAAUCAACAUUUUUAUUUUGCAAGGAAAGUCCUUACUAAGUCAACCAAAGUGACAAAGUUUGCAGAAAAAUAAAUCAGGGCUUUUCUGAAAAGCUGUUUUCAUUGAAGAUACAUGUAGCAAUUAUACAGUAUUCUGCCAUAAGUAUUCGUAAAAACAACAAUUGCGGUCACGUCAUGGAAGGUUAAACAAGUUUUGGCCGUCGUCUCCAUGUCACAAUCUGGAUGACCGUGAAUCUAAAUUUAAAUAUAAAUUGAUCUGUAGAAAAACAUGUGGUUGUCAUGUGACACGUGCAUGAUGGCAUCAACCUUGUCUUGUAAAUAAAAUGGGUCGAAGGGGAAAAGAACUGACAUCUUAUCAGAAAAGGGAUUUCGCUGCAUUAAAUGAUGCAGGUUACCGAAAAAGUGAAAUAGUCAGACUGACCGGCAUUACACAAAGACCCGUUGACAUUUUUUGAAGAGGUAUGAACAUCGCGGUGAUAUAGAAAACAUACGGAGAUGCAGCAGACCUAAAUCCUUUCAUGACCGGUAUAUGAGAAAAUUUUCCCGUCCCGUAAAAAAAUAUCGCCAUGAAGGUUUAGCUGAAAUUACAAAUAAUUUUAAUGAGAACAUUGAUAGACCUUUCUCUAAAAGAACUGUUGAAUGUAAAAUACAUUUUGAUUGAUUCUGCACGCGGUCAGUUUAAAAAAAAAUAUCGUAUAUGUGAGAUCAAUUAGAAAAAA
RNAcentral lists this long non-coding RNA (5345 nucleotides) under Mytilus galloprovincialis (Mediterranean mussel). Lineage: Eukaryota; Metazoa; Mollusca; Bivalvia; Mytilida; Mytilidae. The record is from RNAcentral.